Daucus carota subsp. sativus is the source of this 1438-nucleotide long non-coding RNA. RefSeq lists it as uncharacterized. The transcript has 3 exons. Lineage: Eukaryota; Viridiplantae; Streptophyta; Magnoliopsida; Apiales; Apiaceae. The record is from RefSeq and is a predicted model, not a curated record.
UAUAUAUUGUACUCACAAGUUUGGUUCAUUGGCUAAAGCUGGAUUAUUUCGUGCAUCUAUCAGGCAAAGAAGGACGUAUCAACAUGAGUUGGUUCAUCUAAUUGAGGCAAUGAUGAUGGGUCUGGGAGUCAAAUGCAUGAGAUCAUUUGUACAUCUUUAAGGAGCAUGAUGAAAGGUGGCCUUUAAUUUUCCAUAACCUCUACGAACAUUCAAGGCAUCAUUUCUAUGGUUACCAUGGGAAGCUUAUCGCUAUUACAUCACUUUGGCUGCUUUAGCUGUAGUGACUCUGCCCCUGCCCAUUGCCCAAUUUGGUAGUGUGUCCAUUUUGUAUAAAGAUUUUUGCAACUAGCCAGUGGUGGUAGGAGUAGUGGAGGUAUCAAUAUAUAAAUACUAGUAGAGAUUAAGAAUAACUGGCAGGGUUGUUUAAUUAUGUGAUAAGGGAUUAGAUAAAGGUCAAUUUCAAUGUCUUAGGUAGCGGAGUUGUGAAAUGACAGCAACAGUAUGGGGACAAACAUGGAGUGGAGUUGUGAGGAGGAUGGUUCUUCUGGACUUCUGGUUAAGGUACUUUUCAACAACUUGGCCUAGAUUAUGAAGGUGCCUUGGUUUGACAAAUAAAUGGUUGACGGAGCAAGAUGAUGUAGUGGCGCUGUGGGGGAGAUGCAUUGGAGGUUGAGGAUUUUGAGUGCAAUCAACAGAAGAAAUAGUCAGUUAAAUUGCUAUUGUUUUUCUUGUAAGAAAAGACCUGGAGCUCUCUGAUAGUUUUAACGAAAUCUAGAUAUUGCCUGUUUACAGUUGGGAGCAGUGAGAGGUUCAUCGCAGAGAGGGGUAAAUUUCAGAACGGUAUUUUCAGGAAACGUGGUUAUAACUUUGGCAGCAGGGGUAAUGCCAGAAAUGAGUUCAGGAUCAAGUACAAGCUUACAAGCAGCCAGUCAAAGAAUAGUGGAAGUUUGCAAGCUGUCCAGAUUGUGCAGGUGCUUUUUUUUUUUUUUUUUGACAAAAUUGUGCAGGUGCUUAGGUGAGGCAGACCGUGUAUGAUUGCAUCAACUUGUAAUUGAUUGGAGUGGAGCAAGAUGGUGUAGUGGCGGAGAUGAAGCGGGGUUGAGGUUUCUGAGUGCCAUCGCCACAAGAAGAAGGAUAAUUAGAGAGUAGUGUUUUGCCAUUCAUGCAGAUGGUUAAAGCUUAUUGGUAUUACAUCAUUUGGUUCCUUUAGCUUGUGUCUUAGCCAUUUGUUCGAAAUUAUUAACAAACCGAUGAUAAUAGUUUUAAGAGAUGAGCAGGGGAUUGUAUCACUCCUCUGUGCUUUGAUCAUUUUUACACACCAGAUUUGAUUCGAUUUCAGGAGUUGGUAGAAAGAAGAAAGGUGAGUUGAUCGAAAAAAGAAUUUGACAAAUAAAAAUAAUGCAAUGUGGUGAAAACAACACCUUUUCCCUCAAGAUAC